RNAcentral lists this ribosomal RNA (468 nucleotides) under uncultured bacterium. Its description in RNAcentral is "partial 16S ribosomal RNA". It matches the Rfam family "Bacterial small subunit ribosomal RNA", at positions 28 to 507 of the family's 1533-position model. The record is from RNAcentral.
GACGAACGCUGGCGGCGGGCUUAACACAUGCAAGUCGAACGGAAGGGCCCUGCUUUUGUGGGGUGCUCGAGUGGCAAACGGGUGAGUAACACGUGAGUAACCUGCCCUGGACUUUGGGAUGACUUCAGGCAACUGGGGCUAAUACCGGCUAGGAGCUCCUGCUGCAUGGGGGGGGUUGGAAAGUUUCGGCGGUUGGGGCUGGACUCGCGGCUUAUCAGCUUGUUGGUGGGGGAGUGGCUUACCAAGGCUUUGACGGGUAGCCCGCCUGGGAGGGUGACCGGCCACAUUGCGCCUGCGAUACGGCCCAGACUCCUACGUGAGGCAGCAGUGGGGAAUAUUGCACAAUGGGCGGAAGCCUGAUGCAGCAACGCCGCGUGCGGGAUGACGGCCUUCGGGUUGUAAACCGCUUUCGCCUGUGACGAAGCGUGAGUGACGGUAAUGGGUAAAGAAGCACCGGCUAACUACGUG